This 460-nucleotide ribosomal RNA is filed under the name uncultured bacterium. Its description in RNAcentral is "partial 16S ribosomal RNA". It matches the Rfam family "Bacterial small subunit ribosomal RNA", at positions 338 to 795 of the family's 1533-position model. The record is from RNAcentral.
CCUACGGGCGGCAGCAGUGAGGAAUAUUGGUCAAUGGGCGUAAGCCUGAACCAGCCAAGUCGCGUGAGGGAUGAAGGUUCUAUGGAUCGUAAACCUCUUUUAUAAAGGAAUAAAGUGAGGCACGUGUGCCUUUUUGUAUGUACUUUAUGAAUAAGGAUCGGCUAACUCCGUGCCAGCAGCCGCGGUAAUACGGAGGAUCCGAGCGUUAUCCGGAUUUAUUGGGUUUAAAGGGAGCGUAGAUGGGUUGUUAAGUCAGUUGUGAAAGUUUGCGGCUCAACCGUAAAAUUGCAAUUGAUACUGGCAGUCUGGAGUACAGUUGAGGUAGGCGGAAUUCGUGGUGUAGCGGUGAAAUGCUUAGAUAUCACGAAGAACUCCGAUUGCGAAGGCAGCUUACUAAACUGCCACUGACAUUGAUGCUCGAAAGUGUGGGUAUCAAACAGGAUUAGAUACCCCUGUAGUC